GACGAACGUUGGCGGCGUGCUUAACACAUGCAAGUCGAACGGAAAGGCCCUGCUUUUGUGGGGUGCUCGAGUGGCGAACGGGUGAGUAACACGUGAGUAACCUGCCCUUGACUUUGGGAUAACUUCAGGAAACUGGGGCUAAUACCGGAUAGGAGCUCCUGCUGCAUGGUGGGGGUUGGAAAGUUUCGGCGGUUGGGGAUGGACUCGCGGCUUAUCAGCUUGUUGGUGGGGUAGUGGCUUACCAAGGCUUUGACGGGUAGCCGGCCUGAGAGGGUGACCGGCCACAUUGGGACUGAGAUACGGCCCAGACUCCUACGGGAGGCAGCAGUGGGGAAUAUUGCACAAUGGGCGGAAGCCUGAUGCAGCAACGCCGCGUGCGGGAUGACGGCCUUCGGGUUGUAAACCGCUUUCGCCUGUGACGAAGCGUGAGUGACGGUAAUGGGUAAAGAAGCACCGGCUAACUACGUGCCAGCAGCCGCGGUGAUACGUAGGGUGCGAGCGUUGUCCGGAUUUAUUGGGCGUAAAGGGCUCGUAGGUGGUUGAUCGCGUCGGAAGUGUAAUCUUGGGGCUUAACCCUGAGCGUGCUUUCGAUACGGGUUGACUUGAGGAAGGUAGGGGAGAAUGGAAUUCCUGGUGGAGCGGUGGAAUGCGCAGAUAUCAGGAGGAACACCAGUGGCGAAGGCGGUUCUCUGGGCCUUUCCUGACGCUGAGGAGCGAAAGCGUGGGGAGCGAACAGGCUUAGAUACCCUGGUAGUCCACGCUGUAAACGGUGGGUACUAGGUGUGGGGUCCAUUCCACGGGUUCCGUGCCGUAGCUAACGCUUUAAGUACCCCGCCUGGGGAGUACGGCCGCAAGGCUAAAACUCAAAGGAAUUGACGGGGCCCCGCACAAGCGGCGGAGCAUGCGGAUUAAUUCGAUGCAACGCGUAGAACCUUACCUGGGUUUGACAUGGAUCGGGAGUGCUCAGAGAUGGGUGUGCCUCUUUUGGGGUCGGUUCACAGGUGGUGCAUGCCUGUCGUCAGCUCGUGUCGUGAGAUGUUGGGUUAAGUCCCGCAACGAGCGCAACCCUUGUUCACUGUUGCCAGCACGUUAUGGUGGGGACUCAGUGGAGACCGCCGGGGUCAACUCGGAGGAAGGUGGGGAUGACGUCAAGUCAUCAUGCCCCUUAUGUCCAGGGCUUCACGCAUGCUACAAUGGCUGGUACAGAGAGAGGCGAGCCUGUGAGGGUGAGCGAAUCUCGGAAAGCCGGUCUCAGUUCGGAUUGGGGUCUGCAACUCGACCUCAUGAAGUCGGAGUCGCUAGUAAUCGCAGAUCAGCAACGCUGCGGUGAAUACGUUCCCGGGGCU
Molecule: ribosomal RNA, 1346 nt
Filed under: uncultured bacterium
Lineage: Bacteria
Description: partial 16S ribosomal RNA
Rfam family: Bacterial small subunit ribosomal RNA
Source: RNAcentral